UACAAAGGCACCACAGUGUGAAAAGCCACAUCGAGGGCUUCCAGGGCACAACAUCUGGUGGUGGAGGCUGCUGUGAUUAGAAAAAGUCCUAUUGCCAGAAUCGAGUUAUCUGAAGGUGUCCUGCUGGUAAGCAGCAAGUACGAGCUGUGCUGUGUCCUAAACUGGUGUGUGCAAAAGGGGUCGGAUUAGAUCUUUGACUCCCUCUUUGCGUUAAGUCGGGUUUGUCAGUAUUCCCGUCUAAAACCCAAUGCAAAAUAUCUCAAGAUGCAGUCCUCUGAUGAAACAAACUUUAUUUUUGGUUCUACAUAUCAAUAUCACAGUUCGGGGGAAGGUUUCCUUUUGGAAUCUUCCAUUGGCAGCGUGCAGGACUUUGCUGGGAAGCAGAAAAAGAUGUCUCUCCCAUGCUCUUCCAUGACAGUUUGGGUGAAUUUUUCCCUUGCUUUGCAGGAGAUAAAAUUUAACUUCUAGGUAUCUGCUGAAGAACAGCAACCUCAGCUGCUUCAGCUCUGGCAGUUAUGGUGGGCUUAUCCCCUUCUGUACUCUUCAUGCCAUCAUACAAGACAGCAGAAAUGUCAAGGUUGGAAGGAACGCCAGCAUUUUUACCACAGGAUGGGACAUCGGUGGCAGUGGUAGAUAGAUUUUCUUUCUUUCCCCUUAGGAAGAUGAGUCUGCUUCCUGCUGGGAAUUCACCGCUCUUAUUUCCCUCUCUACAUCCCAGCAAUCAGCCAGGAUCACCUGGAACUUAUUCCCUUGCUCCCAGUUGUACCUCUACAUGCCACCAUGCUGUUAGCGUGUUUGCAUUGGUACAGCACCCGGAUUCUUACUGGAGGGAAUAUUUGAACAAUUACGGGUCUGUUCACAGCCCCGUUCUGGCCUGGGGCUAAGCCAGGGGGUUGUUUGAGGACGGUGGUGUUUGGAGCCUGCCAGCUGACUGGUACCAGUGGGAUCAUACUGGAACAGACGGAAAGACCAGCAAGCCUAGAGGACAACGUAACAGCUGAGAAGCUCCCCCUGCACCCAGAGUAAAAACUGAGGAGUUUUUAGUGUUUUGAUACACCUUACACACCAGACGGCACAAGUCCAAGCUCCACCAGGAGAUCUCCCUCUCCUCAGCUGUCCCACUUCUAGGGACAUUCAUGGGGACCAAAGAGCUGGCAGUGCCUGAGCACUGGUUGGGAAAGGGGACUGUGUGUGCCUGAGUGGCCUGGAAAGUUGGACAUGGGUCCAGAUGUCACAGCAAAUAGGUUUGGAGCCUCUUGCAUGAGGGUGGGUUGUCACAGCUUCCCAACUCCAGGAGAGCAAUGAUCCCAGCUCUUGUGGCCGGCACAUCUUCAGAACACAUUUGAUGACAUUUUUGUCAGUUUUUAAGCAACGUGGACUACUUUAAAUGGGGAAAACAAACAAACAAACAAAAAAGAGUUUUUUGGGAAACGAACAAACAAAGAGUUUUUUGGGUACCAUUGGGGUCACUCUCUUCUUCUCCCCCAACACCCACUUUUCCUUCUUCAAUUAAAAUAAAGGAAAAAACAUACCAUUUAAACUUUGCCUA
Anser brachyrhynchus (Pink-footed goose) is the source of this 1549-nucleotide long non-coding RNA. The record is from Ensembl. Lineage: Eukaryota; Metazoa; Chordata; Aves; Anseriformes; Anatidae.